Molecule: long non-coding RNA, 967 nt
Organism: Carya illinoinensis
Lineage: Eukaryota; Viridiplantae; Streptophyta; Magnoliopsida; Fagales; Juglandaceae
Exons: 2
Source: RefSeq, a predicted model, not a curated record
ACCUCCCGGUCCAACUCCUCCUUCCUCUUACUGCCUGAGUUUUUUCAGAGCCAUCUCAUUCUAUCAUACAAAAAAAUCGAGUCAAUUACAUUCCUUCGCUAAUGGAAAAAUUCCAAGCCAUGUAUAAAUGUGUCAUUCUUCUUGCACUGGUUGCUUUCCAUGAAGCUCUGGUAACUCAAGGAAGGCAAAUAAAGUCAACAAAACAAAAGCAGUACAGAAGUCCUAGAGAUGAUCUGCAUGUAGGCUCUAGCGGGGAAACUAGAAAACGAGGCAUCGAAUCGGCCGCCAUGAUCAGCUCCUUUGACAGCGCCGCACCGCAUGAUCAAUAUGAUCCAAAAACAACACACGCAAGUCACAUUCCUAGUACUGUCGAUCAAUCUAUGACAAGAAAGAAAGAAGCUUCUGUCCUGCCCAUGAAACCAAAUUACAGCUUUAGCUUCCACGACUCAGAAGUGGCGCAUAAUAAAGAUAAUUUUCGACCGACAACACCUGGCCCAUUCAUUCCAAAACCAGGAAGCGGACGUUGAAUCAAAGGCACUAGCUAAGGGCAAGGGUGUUAGGCAUUCCCUUACAGGAUUCAAAGAUAAUUACCAGCCCACGGCACCCGGACACAGCCCUGGCGUUGGUCAUGUUUUUCAAAGUAAAACCGAAGAAACAAAUUAAUCGUGACUAGGCGUUUAUAUCUUAGUGUUUGCAAUGGUCUUUGGCGUUUAUAUCUACUCAAUCUGUCUAAAGGUGAUAAGCACCCACACCAAGACUAAAUUUCGGAACCUUCAAGUUAUUGAAAGGCCUUGCCAUGAUAAUGGCAUUGAGCUAUCCGAAAUUCAUUACACUCAUUUCCCAAAACCUGAAACUUAUAGCAGAGGUCGGGAAGUGGGUGGUUUGAGACCCUAUUAAAUAGUACUCAUGUUUGUUGCGCGUCUGGCCUGUACAAAAUCACACAAUACGAUUUAAGUGGUUCAGCAAA